ACAGCGAGGAAGCGAAUCGCGAGGUGGAGCCAAUCCUAGAAAAGCCGGUCUCAGUUCGGAUUGUAGGCUGCAACUCGCCUACAUGAAGUCGGAAUUGCUAGUAAUCGCGGAUCAGCAUGCCGCGGUGAAUACGUUCCCGGGUCUUGUACACACCGCCCGUCACACCACGAGAGUUUACAACACCCGAAGUCGGUGGGGUAACCCGCAAGGGAGCCAGCCGCCGAAGGUGGGGUAGAUGAUUGGGGUGAAGUCGUAACAAGGUAGCCGUAUCGGAAGGUGCGGUUGGAUCACCUCCU
RNAcentral lists this ribosomal RNA (296 nucleotides) under Paenibacillus polymyxa. RNAcentral describes it as "partial 16S ribosomal RNA". It matches the Rfam family "Bacterial small subunit ribosomal RNA", at positions 1239 to 1531 of the family's 1533-position model. Lineage: Bacteria; Bacillati; Bacillota; Bacilli; Caryophanales; Paenibacillaceae. The record is from RNAcentral.